UACGUAGGGAGCAAGCGUUGUCCGGAAUCAUUGGGCGUAAAGAGCGCGUAGGCGGCCGUGUAAGUCCGCUCUGAAAGUCGGAGGCUCAACCUCCGAAAGCGGGUGGAUACUGCACGGCUAGAGUCCGGAAGAGGCGAGUGGAAUUCCUGGUGUAGCGGUGGAAUGCGCAGAUAUCAGGAGGAACACCAACGGCGAAGGCAGCUCGCUGGGACGGUACUGACGCUGAGACGCGAAAGCGUGGGGAGCGAACAGG
RNAcentral lists this ribosomal RNA (253 nucleotides) under uncultured bacterium. Its description in RNAcentral is "partial 16S ribosomal RNA". It matches the Rfam family "Bacterial small subunit ribosomal RNA", at positions 524 to 776 of the family's 1533-position model. The record is from RNAcentral.